GGAGUCGUAGCCCAGCGGAAGGAGCGUCCGGCUAUAGAGGAAGGACCCGGGUUCGAAUCCCGGCGGCUCCA
RNAcentral lists this transfer RNA (71 nucleotides) under Lachnoclostridium sp. An138. RNAcentral's name for it is "tRNA-Ile". It matches the Rfam family "tRNA". Rfam says of the family: Transfer RNA (tRNA) molecules are approximately 80 nucleotides in length. Lineage: Bacteria; Bacillati; Bacillota; Clostridia; Lachnospirales; Lachnospiraceae. The record is from RNAcentral.